This 670-nucleotide ribosomal RNA is filed under the name uncultured Thelephorales. Its description in RNAcentral is "eukaryotic LSU rRNA". The stretch from base 274 to 428 matches the Rfam family "5.8S ribosomal RNA". The record is from RNAcentral. Lineage: Eukaryota; Fungi; Basidiomycota; Agaricomycetes; Thelephorales.
CUUGGUCAUUUAGAGGAAGUAAAAGUCGUAACAAGGUUUCCGUAGGUGAACCUGCGGAAGGAUCAUUACUGAGUUGUUGACAUGAGCUGUUGCUGGUCCUCAAAACAAGGGGGCAUGUGCACGCUCUGUUCACACAUCCACUCACACCUGUGCACCAACCGUAGUUCUAUGGUCUGGAGGACUCACCGUCCUCUUCCCGUGGUUCUAUGUCUUUACACAUACACCGUAGUGAAGUCUUAUGGAAUGUGCGCCGCGUUUAACGCAAUACAAUACAACUUUCAGCAACGGAUCUCUUGGCUCUCGCAUCGAUGAAGAACGCAGCGAAAUGCGAUAAGUAAUGUGAAUUGCAGAAUUCAGUGAAUCAUCGAAUCUUUGAACGCACCUUGCGCCUCUUGGCUAUUCCGAGGGGCAUGCCUGUUUGAGUAUCAUGAACACCUCAACUCUUCACGGUUUGUUCUGUGAUGGGCUUGGACUUCUGGAGGUUUUGCUGGCCUAUGGUCGGCUCCUCUCAAAUUGAUCAGCUUUACCAGUGUUUGGCGGCGUCAUGGGUGUGAUAACUAUCUACGCUUGUGGCCGUCUGCCAGGUAACCUUCAGCGAUGGAGGUUCGCUGGGGCUUACAAAUGUCUCUCCCAAGCGAAGACAGCUUUUGAACGUUCGAUCUCAAAUCAG